UACGGAGGGUGCAAGCGUUAUCCGGAUUCACUGGGUUUAAAGGGUGCGUAGGUGGGUUGGUAAGUCAGUGGUGAAAUCCCCGAGCUUAACUUGGGAACUGCCAUUGAUACUAUCAGUCUUGAAUACCGUGGAGGUUAGCGGAAUAUGUCAUGUAGCGGUGAAAUGCUUAGAUAUGACAUAGAACACCAAUUGCGAAGGCAGCUUACCAAGCCGACACUGACGCUGAGGCACGAAAGCGUGGGGAUCAAACAGG
Molecule: ribosomal RNA, 253 nt
Filed under: uncultured bacterium
Lineage: Bacteria
Description: partial 16S ribosomal RNA
Rfam family: Bacterial small subunit ribosomal RNA
Source: RNAcentral